This 496-nucleotide ribosomal RNA is filed under the name uncultured bacterium. Its description in RNAcentral is "partial 16S ribosomal RNA". It matches the Rfam family "Bacterial small subunit ribosomal RNA", at positions 28 to 506 of the family's 1533-position model. The record is from RNAcentral.
GAUGAACGCUGGCGGCGUGCCUAAUACAUGCAAGUUGAGCGAACGGACGAGAAGCUUGCUUCUCUGAUGUUAGCGGCGGACGGGUGAGUAACACGUGGAUAACCUACCUAUAAGACUGGGAUAACUUCGGGAAACCGGAGCUAAUACCGGAUAAUAUUUUGAACCGCAUGGUUCAAAAGUGAAAGACGGUCUUGCUGUCACUUAUAGAUGGAUCCGCGCUGCAUUAGCUAGUUGGUAAGGUAACGGCUUACCAAGGCAACGAUGCAUAGCCGACCUGAGAGGGUGAUCGGCCACACUGGAACUGAGACACGGUCCAGACUCCUACGGGAGGCAGCAGUAGGGAAUCUUCCGCAAUGGGCGAAAGCCUGACGGAGCAACGCCGCGUGAGUGAUGAAGGUCUUCGGAUCGUAAAACUCUGUUAUUAGGGAAGAACAUAUGUGUAAGUAACUGUGCACAUCUUGACGGUACCUAAUCAGAAAGCCACGGCUAACUACGU